UUCCCCCACCUUAUCAAAGCCUCGAGUGUCAUUCUCUUCCCCCCUGUCGUCAGGAAGCCAGCCACCCCUCCUCCACUCCUCAUUUCAGAGGCAACAGUGCCAGUCGGUGCAAGUCGGCUCGGUUGUCAAACAGUAACACUAUCGCUUCCGUCCAGACUUUGAGCAGGAAGAUUCGAGGACCUAUGGUUCUUGGAAUGAGGACGACACAGAAAGAGGGCGUGCUGCUCUGCUGGCCUCAUUCUCAGUACCAAGGGAGCGGCAGACUGUCACAGAUCUGAGGGACAUGGCACUGGAGCGACUGCUGACACCAGUUGCACCGGCAACUGAUCACCUAUGACGUUCUCAAUGGGCUUGACCCCACAGUGACCCACAUCCACACAGUGCCACAUGCCCGUUCGGCUGGACAUGGCAAAACACAGCAAAUCACGGGGAUCUGGGUCUGGUUGGGUGUCUGUAGUAGUAUAUCCAUCCGUCCGACUCGUUGAAGAACUCUUCGUCCAGUUUGAGGUGAACAAUCGCAGUUCUGAUGUCCAGAAGCUCUUUCGGUCACAAGAGACUGUAGUAGCAACAUUAUGUACAAAACAAAUUACGAACAAGGCAAAAAAAAAAAAAAAGAAAUUGCCGAUAAGACUGCAGGCCUCCCCUCCAGUGCCAUAGUGUUCAGAACAAGCAUUUCUAAUUGGAAUAGUUCAGGUAGGUCCUGUUUGGUUACUAGUGAAGACAUUCCUGAUACUGUAUGUUGAAUGAUACAAGUGUUUAUCCUGUAUGGUUAAGUAUGUGCUCUUAUGCUAGCCAUGUGUGGAGGGAAAAAGCAUUGAGAAUGCACUACGUUGCAAACCAUCGAUGCACUCUAAAAAGUGUUUAAGUUCUCUGAGAGAUAUGCAUGCAUUUAUGUUGCGCCUACACACUUAACAGCACAAUAAACAGAAUGAUAUGCUAUAUAGGCCUACACAGCAUACCUGGCACAAUUAACCGAGACAAUGGUUUGCUAAACACUGACAGGCGACUAACAUUUGUAAUACAAAAGGAUUCAGAAGACACAAACUGCAUUUUAGACACACUACAGGUCAACCAAAAGACAACAGUAGACCUAUCCAAAUCUAUCUUCCAUCACCAUUGUGUGCAUAGCCAAUAACCACCAACCACUCCUUACGUCUAAAUACAGUAGUUUCUCAAGUUUGGCUGUGUCUCAAGUUAGGCAAUCUAUUCCUUAAAAAAGUGAACUAUUUUUGAGGGCCAUAGGCGCUGAUCAAAAGUAGUGCACUAUGUAGGGAAUACAGGGCCAUUUGAGAUGCACACAGCGUUAGAAUGCUGCCUCACUGUUGCUACACCCAUUCGUUUCUUCCGUAUUGGAGGCACCUAUGAGUCUACCGGAUCUGUAAUCAUAUAUUAGAGAACUAAUUUAAUGCACUCAAAGGGUCACGCCCAGGAUCGCGCGGCACGCUAAUGUAUUUGUUUACUGGAAAAACAAUAACAAGACAUGAGAUAACGAGAGCGCUGGCCAAAACGGAGCCGAGGCUUAUCGUGAGAUAUGAUACCCAAACCUGGUCUCAGAGCAUUUCUUAUUAUUCUGUAUGUAAAUCCGAUACACUCCCAAUUGGUAUGAUAUGUUACGUUUUGUAUGGUACAUAUUCAUUUGUGGGUGUCCAACAAUGAUAUGUUACGAAUUACAAUUCGUAUUAUGUUACGAAUUUGCUAAAAGUACAAUGUUACAAAUUUGUAAACGUACAAUAUGUUAAGACUUUGCAAAACGUAUGAUAUGUUACGAAUUCUAGCAAGGUGGCUAACAUUUGCUCACGUUAACUAGGCUAGCGGUUAGGGUUAACCCUUUAACCUAACUGUUAAACUUAAGGGUAGGGUUAGGGGAAGGGUUAGCUAACAUGCUAAGUAGUUGCAAAGUAGCAAGUAGUUAAAGUUGCUAAUUAGCUAAAAUUGGUCAUGAUGAGAUUCUUAUGGAACCAUCGGUCUUAUGUAACCAUACCAAACGUAAAAUAUCAUACUAAUUUGAGUGGGCCGGAUUUACAUUUACUAUGCUACGGCUAGUCUAUGAGACCAGGCUGGACACCCUGGGAAUACAAGUGUGCUCCCAUUACUGUUAUCGAGAUCCAUCAUUCUUCUGUUUGUUGUGAGAGAAGACAAGCAGAAUUUUUUAAAUUUAAGAUUUCACUGUGCAGUCCUCUGAGAAAUCACCUGUGUGGAGAGAAGAAUUGGUCAUGCCUUCUAUGUUUGCCAAUGAUUGACAUGUAGGUAAACACAUCGACAUGUAAGAACAGUUAAGCCAACAUCCUGAGAAAAUAGGACAGGGAGAUAAUGUGUAAUAAGCAAUCAUCCUCUUCUUUCCAUGUCUUUUGACUCUCCACCCUCCAAUUAAA
Molecule: long non-coding RNA, 2372 nt
Organism: Oncorhynchus nerka (sockeye salmon)
Lineage: Eukaryota; Metazoa; Chordata; Actinopteri; Salmoniformes; Salmonidae
Exons: 3
Source: RefSeq, a predicted model, not a curated record